This 371-nucleotide RNase P RNA is filed under the name Zetaproteobacteria bacterium CG1_02_49_23. RNAcentral's name for it is "RNase P RNA component class A". It matches the Rfam family "Bacterial RNase P class A". From Rfam's summary of the family: Ribonuclease P (RNase P) is a ubiquitous endoribonuclease, found in archaea, bacteria and eukarya as well as chloroplasts and mitochondria. Its best characterised activity is the generation of mature 5'-ends of tRNAs by cleaving the 5'-leader elements of precursor-tRNAs. Cellular RNase Ps are ribonucleoproteins. RNAcentral also lists the same sequence under 4 other names. The record is from RNAcentral. Lineage: Bacteria; Pseudomonadati; Pseudomonadota; Candidatius Mariprofundia.
GGAGUGGUUCGGGUAAUCGCGUUAAUUUCAUUCAUUUUUGAAAUUACCGAGGAAAGUCCGGGCUGCGCAGGAUAGAAUGCCGGAUAACGUCCGGUGAAGGUGACUUCAGGAAAGUGCCACAGAAACAAACCGCCUCGAUCAAGUAUCGCGGUAAGGGUGAAAAGGUGCGGUAAGAGCGCACCGCCUGAGCUGGUAACAGUUCAGGGCUAGGUAAACCCCAUUCGCAGCAAGACCAAAUAGGGGAACAUCAAAACGUGAUCCGCGUCGUUUCCGGGUAGGUUGCUUGAGCCUGCAAGCAAUUUCAGGCCUAGAUGAAUGAUUACCACUCUUGCAAAAGAGAACAGAACCCGGCUUACAGAACCACUCCACUU